CAGUAGCCGCGGUAAUACAGAGGUCCCGAGCGUUGUUCGGAUUCACUGGGCGUAAAGGGUGUGUAGGAGGUCGGGUAAGUCAGGUGUGAAAUCUCGCAGCUUAACUGUGAAACUGCGCUUGAUACUGCUCGGCUAGAGGAUCGGAGGGGGUAACGGAAUUUAUGGUGUAGCAGUGAAGUGCGUAGAGAUUAGGAGGAACACCAGUGGCGAAGGCGGCUUUUUGGCCUGUAACUGACACUGAGGCGUGAAAGCGUGGGGAGCAAACAGGAUUAGAGACCCCCGUAGUCCCUGUCUCUUAUAC
RNAcentral lists this ribosomal RNA (301 nucleotides) under uncultured bacterium. Its description in RNAcentral is "partial 16S ribosomal RNA". It matches the Rfam family "Bacterial small subunit ribosomal RNA", at positions 509 to 807 of the family's 1533-position model. The record is from RNAcentral.